AUCUAUGACCAUGCCACCCUGAACAAGCCCAAUUCUGUCCGAUCUUGGAAGCUAAGCAGGGUAAGGCCUGGUUAGUACUUGGAUAGGAGACCACCUAGAAAGACCAGGUGCUGUAGGCG
RNAcentral lists this ribosomal RNA (119 nucleotides) under Pteropus alecto (black flying fox). The record is from RNAcentral. Lineage: Eukaryota; Metazoa; Chordata; Mammalia; Chiroptera; Pteropodidae.